RNAcentral lists this long non-coding RNA (1005 nucleotides) under Lingula anatina. Its description in RNAcentral is "uncharacterized LOC106180068". Lineage: Eukaryota; Metazoa; Brachiopoda; Lingulata; Lingulida; Lingulidae. The record is from RNAcentral.
UGACGCUCAGCGUAGAGCGAGUUGUCUUUCAGGAUAAUCAUUUGACGGCUGGAUUCUGUAAGAAGUGGACGCAAGAUAGGUGUGGUGAAGUCGCAAGGCCAAACAUUUCUUUCAGUCCGGAACCAAAUAUGUCUUGUCUGUCAAAGAUUCAACUCCCUACCUCUAAUGGUCUAGGAAGAGACAGAGGGAAUUACUAACGCACAGACCCACGGACGGGCAGAAGAACAUGAUCCUCGACUUGUGUCUCAAAAGGGGGUAAAGAUGCAAAGCUCCUUUGCAGUGAUGCUGUAGAAUGCACAUGCGACUGAUAGAAACUUGUCCAGCCUUCUGUCCCUGUUUGGAACCGGACACACACGCAUGCACUCACACGCACGCAAGCUAUAUAGUGAAAAUAGCGUAUGCUUUUACUGUGAUUUGUAAACCAUUUUAACUUAUAAGCCUACAUAUUUUCAUAUAUUAAAAUGGUGCUUAGAAUCACCGUGUUCUUUUCGUGUCAAUUUUACCCUGAAAACACUUUUGUUUUAAAAUUAUACCCAAACUAUUGACAGUGACCUUUUUUUUCCAAAUUAUACCCAAGAGCGAGCUAGGAUGCAUCUGUUUCUGCCAGAUUUUGUUAUGUACAUGUGUAAUGAUUUAGAUCCAAGUGUUAGAAAUAUAAUAAUGUAAUGUUCAAAGUGUGAGCACAUCCCAACUUUCAAACUGCAUCGUAAGAUGAAACUUGUAAGCUUGUCGGGUUUGUAUAUCAAAUUGAUUACUACCGCAUCAGUUGAUAUUGUUCUUUACAUUGUAGAAGUUACUUUAUCUAUUUAUUUUUGUUGUUAUUUCUAUAUGUUAUUUGACAGUCAUGAAUGACAUACAGUUUUGUCUGAAUAAAUGUGCUUGCCAAGGGGAGUUUUCAAUUUCAUAAAAGUAAUAAUAUUAUUAAUAUCAAUGUUUCCUGAAUUUUCAGAACCUAAAAUCUGUAAAAUCCUACCAAAUGUGUUUUUAUCCUUAAUUAGAAUAGAU